GUACGGGAGGCAGCAGUGGGGAAUCUUGCGCAAUGGGCGAAAGCCUGACGCAGCGACGCCGCGUGAGUGAUGAAGGCCUUCGGGUUGUAAAGCUCUGUGGGGAGGGACGAAUAAGUGCAGCCUAAUACGUUGCAUGAUGACGGUACCUCCUUAGCAAGCACCGGCUAACUCUGUGCCAGCAGCCGCGGUAAGACAGAGGGUGCAAACGUUGUUCGGAAUUACUGGGCGUAAAGCGUGUGUAGGCGGUCCACUAAGUCGGGUGUGAAAGCCCUGGGCUCAACCCAGGAAGUGCACUCGAAACUGGCGGGCUAGAGUAUCGGAGAGGUUGGUGGAAUUCUCGGUGUAGAGGUGAAAUUCGUAGAUAUCGAGAGGAACACCGGUGGCGAAGGCGGCCAACUGGACGAAUACUGACGCUGAGACACGAAAGCGUGGGGAGCAAACAGGAUUAGAUACCCCGGU
This 459-nucleotide ribosomal RNA is filed under the name uncultured bacterium. Its description in RNAcentral is "bacterial SSU rRNA". It matches the Rfam family "Bacterial small subunit ribosomal RNA", at positions 339 to 791 of the family's 1533-position model. The record is from RNAcentral.